Molecule: unclassified non-coding RNA, 277 nt
Filed under: Tomentella sp.
Lineage: Eukaryota; Fungi; Basidiomycota; Agaricomycetes; Thelephorales; Thelephoraceae
Description: partial internal transcribed spacer region
Rfam family: Eukaryotic small subunit ribosomal RNA (bases 1-46)
Source: RNAcentral
AAGUCGUAACAAGGUUUCCGUAGGUGAACCUGCGGAAGGAUCAUUACCGAAUUGUCAACAUGAAGUUGUUGCUGGCCCUCAGAUGGGGGCAUGUGCACGCUCUGUUUACACAUCCACUCACACCUGUGCACUCUCUGUAGUUCUAUGGUCUGGGGGCUCAGCCCUCCUACUGUGGUUCUGCGUAUUUACACACACACACUGUAAUAAAGUCUUAUGGAAUGUAUUUCGCGUUUAACGCAAUGCAAUACAACUUUCAGCAACGGAUCUCUUGGCUCUC